GAGCACAAGGACAAAAAGAGUUGUGAAGGUUCUGAAUCUUGAGGAUUAUUCCUUUCAAAUCUGUGAUAACCUGUGAUUCUUCUCCCCAUCUCCUUGCUAAUCUUUCCCCACCUCUUCUACCAUCUUUCAUUCCAUUCUGACUACUGGAAAUUUACCAAGGAAGUUGCCUGAAAUUAGGUACUUUUUUUUUUUUCCAGAAAUACAACUCACUCAAUAAAUACAUAUGGGUGCACUGUAUUUUGGAGAAAGAAUAUGUUUGCAAAGCUUUUUAAAUUAAAUCUUCAUAAGAAUGUGGGAGUAAAUGCCAAAGGAAUUCGUGAGUACCUAGUUUAAUGAUAAUCCAAAACAAACUUUAAGAAAACAAUGGAGAAAAAGACUUGUGGCUUCAAGGAUAAGAAUCAACCUUUGGAUUGGCCCCUGCCAGUUGUGUUGAACCUUCUGAAAUAGACACAUGGAGACUUGGAAAGGUCUGUUUUUAAUAAAUGUGCGGAAUAUCAUAUAAGUUAACUUUAACAUGCCACCUGCAGCUUUGAAAUGCAGUGUAUUUUGAAGAUCAAAUACUUGCAUUCCAGACACUAGAGCUCUGAAAUGGAAUAGGGUAUGAUUUCUGCCUUCAGGGAGUCCUUGGUCCUGUGGAGAAUCUAGUCACACAAACAAGCAUUAAAGAUAAGAUCUAAAAGCAACAAAGAUGAAUAUGGUAAACUGCCGUUGAAACACUGAUGAAAAAGCAAUUUAUCCUGGAAGGGAGAUUGGUAGAGUCCAGUCUUGGAGAGAAGGUAACAGCUGAGCAGGGUCUUGAAGCAUGUGGUGGAUGGGGGGAGGAGAGGUCGAGGAAGGUGUUUCAGGCGGAGGGGCAGUGUGGACGGAGGCGUGGUGGUGUGAAGGCGGAUGGGACUUCUGCACAGUGGCGAGGGGAGGAUGGCUGGAGCAAGAGGUCUUCUGUGCAAAGGACAUCCGAGUGCAAGUUAUACAGUUUGGACUUUGUUCUGGAGAUAGGAAUCUUCAGAGAAAAUGGCAUAAUCAGAUCCAGGAGCCAUCUGGGAUUUUACAUACCUCAGCUCGUGAAGAAAUAAUGCCUACCCCAGUGCAUGGGAGCGGUGCGGCACAAGGACGCCCCUCUGUGACUUCUUGGUGACCAUCUGCAGAGACAGUUUGCACCAGAGUAUACUUCCGCACCCUGCUUUCUUUAUUGAGAAGCUUUUGCCUGGAAAACAAAUGUCAACUGCACUCAGAAGAGCGUGCUUAGUGAGGUAAUUGAUUUCCUUUCUGGAACAAGCCCCUUAUCACAGAUUCAUUACAAUAGCCCGGGGAAUGGCUGGGGUCCUCGGACCACACUUGGAGCAGUGCAGGACCCAGAGAAGAGGCAUGACUGCAGUGAACUCGUGGGGUCGCCGUUAGCCACCGAACGGUGCUGAGCCUCUUUGGAACUAGAAUCAGUUCCAUUGUACCCCUUGCCCCGGCCUUACUGGUGGCAUCGUUAUCCACUGCAGAAAUCGAAGUGUCUAAGGAUGCUCGGUAUUUCCCACAUAAGACGAGGGGAAUGGUUCUGAAAAACAGGCAGAAUCCUGACUUCAAUCCUGGCACUUUCCGGAGCUCCGGUAUGGAAAUCAAUCAAUCAAUCAGGCUGUAUGUUAGAAGUGUGAGAGCUUUGGUAAUUAGGAUGGGCUGUGGCAGGAGUCCCAUAAUGAGGUUAAUAGCCCUGGCCUGAAACCCAGAGCACAUCAGAUUGAAGGCUAUAAGGCUUACCUUAAGGGCUGUUGUGAAUGCUGUCCAGGGCUUAGCACAGCCUGGCAGUGGGGUUCAGUAGAUGGCUCCUCUGUUAUUAGGAUCCACUUUACAAGGAAGCAGAUCCACAUGUGAAGGCACUGGAUGUUACCUGGUGGGGCAUCUAGUCACCGUACAUGAAAUGCCAUCUUAAAUUACGAUUUCUUCCCAUCUUAAAGCCUUUACAAUCUCCCAAAUGCCUCUCCUAAAAUGCAAAUACUCCAGAUAUCUUCUUAUCUUUGGCUGGUAUACAGAGAGGUCAGUUUCACUUUUUACCGUGUUAUUUGCAAGUUUUCAAAGUAACCACUUCCUUCAUAAUUAUAACAGAAGUAUCUAAAUUUCUGAAAAGGACACAUCUGAGCUCAGCUCAUUAGAAUUAGCUUAUGUCACAGUGUUUCCCAAAUUAUGUUUCACUUUAUCACAGUGUCUGUGACAUAUGCUGUGUUUAAAAAAAGAAAAGAAAUCAUAGCAAAUAAGGUUGGGAUACACAUACUCCAAGAUUUGUGAGUCACAUUGACAUAUUAAGGACCUGAACAAGCUUACAGAAAGAAACCUUUAUCAUCAAAUUUCCCAAACGAGUUUGAUUAGAGAGCACUUUUGUUAGGCAUCACCUAGUCAUAGUGUGCUUUAAGAUCACCCACUGCCUUAAGAGAUUAUUUUCCAAACUCAAUGGUUAACUGAGAAAUUCAGACUCUGUUGGUACAGCGCACAGAUUAGGCAUUUGGAAGGAGGGGAAUGUGAAGAGAGGAUCUUCAAAUGGGAGGCACGGGGAUGAUAGUGAACUCUCUCCUGCCUGGAAAGAGCAGAUAAGAGAGACUCAUGACCUUCUGCCCAUUUCCAGUUUAUUCAUAUACUAGCCACUGACCCGUUGUUUGCCACUACAUCACCUAACCUUGCUAGACCUCAGUUUUUCCCUCUAUCAAAUGGGGAGGGGGCAAUGCAAGACACGGUCUCAUCCAGAUCAGCUAUCCUAGUCUUCAGUUCAAUUUUGUUUUGGAAAAGAAUGCAUGCAUGAUCAUUUUUACAUUGAUAGAAGUAGUGGUGUUAUAAAUUUGUUUUACCUGUUUAGAGGUUUUCAUUUUCUUUCAAGGAUUCUAGCCUGUUCCAAAGGUCCAUCAAAAUGCUUGAUAUAAAGCAUUUCAGGAAUCUUUUUAGUUUAAAG
This 2926-nucleotide long non-coding RNA is filed under the name Mustela putorius furo (domestic ferret). Its description in RNAcentral is "lncRNA (ENSMPUG00000030145.1)". The record is from RNAcentral. Lineage: Eukaryota; Metazoa; Chordata; Mammalia; Carnivora; Mustelidae.